Molecule: long non-coding RNA, 1146 nt
Organism: Equus caballus (horse)
Lineage: Eukaryota; Metazoa; Chordata; Mammalia; Perissodactyla; Equidae
Source: RefSeq, a predicted model, not a curated record
UAAACUCACUUUGAAUCAAGAGGAGAUUUAUUACAAGGAGAUAUGGAAUCCGAAGAAAGAGAACAUACCAAACCUCACGAAGGGAUGCUCCAAGAGAUCAUGGAACUUAUCUCUUUAUCUCUGUGGCCAUGACUACCAAUUCAGCACUUGGCAUAUGGAAGAUCAACAAAUGCAGGAGAGUAUGGCUGUUACCAUCCUGGAGUUUGGAUAUUACAACCCAGUUACACUUCUUAACGCUGUGUGAUUGCAACUGGCUCAAAGUGGUUGCCCAGCCAUAAGAGUUGGCUUAGCCCUCAAGGCCAGGAGUGAGAUUAUGCGGAAAAAUGACUGCUGGGGGCAUACCGGGAGAGAGCAGCUCUGAGGAUGAUGUUUACUGCAGACUUGGCAAAAGACUCAAGAAGUGUUUAUUCCAAGCUAAGAAUGGAUCCUGCACCUCCAGGGCCUUUAGAUAUGUAUAUAAAUAUAUAGAAAUGUAUAUCGUUUCUCAGCGUUCUACAUUUGAGCCAUCUCAUUCUACUCAUUCUCCUCACAAAUGUGCUACUCACACCCGUGUUUUCAAAUAACCUCUUAGAAGUUGAUGAUUCUCAAAUCUCUAUUUUCAGCAUAGAGCUCUCUCCUGAGCUCCAGAUUCAUAUAGCUUCUUACUUAAUUUUCCAUGCAUGUCUCUUAGACACUCCACUUUUGAUAAGCUCAAAAAGGAACUCAUCUUCCCGCUAAAAUUUGCAUCUCCUCCAGUAUUGUUUAGUGUGUAAAAAUGCAUACAUUUUUUGAAGACAUGGUAAAGGCUGUGGGGAAUGUUGGCAAGUCACUCUCCUUAGAGGCAAAAAUAUAAGCAUACAAAAAGGAUGUCUUGGAAUUUGGAGCAGAAAAUUAAAAUAGGAAAACUGCUAACAAUAUCAAACAUUAAUAAAAUGUGUGCCCACAUAUAGUCCGAAAAUAAUAUGUGAUUUUGGAAUUCAAAUCAAUUUAUUUGGCCAUUGGAAUAAGUCUUAGAACUAGGGUGACUAUACAUCCCAGUUUCCCGGAUACAGUUCCAAUUUAUUCCUGUUGGUCUAGCAUCUUAUCUAAUUUUUUAUUUGUUUCCAGUGUUUUAUUUUUGAUGAAGUAUUAUCAAUGGUUAAAUUAAAAUAGUCUUUGAUGAGCUUA